UACAGAGGGUGCGAGCGUUGUCCGGAAUCACUGGGCGUAAAGGGCGCGUAGGUGGCGAGCCAAGUCCAUGGUGAAAGCUCGAUGCUCAACAUCGAGUCGGCCACGGAUACUGGUGCGCUUGAGCACUGUAGAGGCUAAUGGAAUUCCGGGUGUAGCGGUGGAAUGCGUAGAGAUCCGGAAGAACACCGGUGGCGAAGGCGGUUAGCUGGGCAGUUGCUGACACUGGAGGCGCGACAGCGUGGGGGA
This 246-nucleotide ribosomal RNA is filed under the name uncultured bacterium. RNAcentral describes it as "partial 16S ribosomal RNA". It matches the Rfam family "Bacterial small subunit ribosomal RNA", at positions 524 to 768 of the family's 1533-position model. The record is from RNAcentral.